This 329-nucleotide unclassified non-coding RNA is filed under the name soil metagenome. RNAcentral's name for it is "partial contains 5.8S ribosomal RNA, internal transcribed spacer 2, and large subunit ribosomal RNA". The stretch from base 1 to 120 matches the Rfam family "5.8S ribosomal RNA", at positions 35 to 154 of the family's 154-position model. The record is from RNAcentral.
GAUGAAGAACACAGCGAAAUGCGAUAAGUAAUGUGAAUUGCAGAAUUCCGUGAAUCAUCGAAUCUUUGAACGCACAUUGCGCCCCUUGGUAUUCCGAGGGGCAUGCCUGUUCGAGCGUCAUUAUAACCCCUCAAGCUCAGCUUGGUGUUGGGGCCUGCUGCACUGGCAGCCCUUAAAAUCAGUGGCGGCGCCAUCUGGCUCUAAGCGUAGUAAUUCUUCUCGCUAUGGAGUCCUGGUGGAUGCUUGCCAUCAACCCCCAAUUUUUCUAUGGUUGACCUCGGAUCAGGUAGGGAUACCCGCUGAACUUAAGCAUAUCAAUAAGCGGAGGA